CUUUUGAUGCGAGACGACUUGUGCUUCGCUGCCGUGUGUUUCCGCGGCGGCAAAUGGGGGGAUUGGGGCCUGUGGGAAAUCCGGCGGAGGCGGCGGUGCCGCACCGGGCAGCCGAGGUAGGGACGGGGCCUGUGGCGGUGGCCGCACCGGGCGGCGGCUCCUGCCUGCGCGACGACCUAAGGUUCCUUACAAAUUGGAAUGAGUAAUAGUGAAGCCAAUUGACGUACCAUCACUUGAAGCAGUGGUGAAGUUCUCCACCUGGACACGGGAGUACACCUCAUAUGCGUUAAUAAGAGGUGGUAGCUGUGAGUCUGGGGUCUUGCGAAGCUGAAAAUAUGCCCUUCUGCCUUUGCGCAAGAACCAGUUGUGGAACAUGGAGCUCAGGAAUGACGGUGGGCUGAAGUUGGAGAACAGUGCUUGCGGUUCAUCGACAUUGUAGAUGUCAAAAAUUCUCUUUGAACCAUUAUUGCCGAGUUCAACAAAGUGAAAGACUGGAAGAAGCUCUAGGUCUGUUGCGAGAGAGUUACUGGCACUAACGCUGAUGUUGAGCCAAGAGAAGUUUCCGUUUAUGGUUGAAGCGCUUCCCAGAAUGGCUGGAGGAAGCCCAAAGGUGUCAAUAUUAGGAAGUUCAGCCACCUUGCCGUUGCUACUCUUAUUAACCCAUGGAAAGGUGUGCAUGGUAAAGACCCAGCCCUCCCAGAAGCGAUCAUACUGAUCCGUUGGGAAUCUGACCAUGACAGAGGACAAAACAAAGAAAAGAUUAUGCCAACGUAAAUAUAACUGGAUUCAGCAUUGUCAUUGCCGUUGUUUUUGCUAAGCUUUAAGGCUUAUGGCUAUUGAUGUACUCGCUCCGGUCAUAAAUAUUUGAUAUUUGGAGUAAAUUUUGAUCAUAUUUUCAAAGCUUCGAGCCUUUGACCAUUAAUUUUAUGUUAUUUAAGUUCAUAAAAA
Long non-coding RNA from Oryza sativa Japonica Group (Japanese rice), 948 nucleotides. RefSeq lists it as uncharacterized. NCBI's taxonomy places the organism in Eukaryota, Viridiplantae, Streptophyta, Magnoliopsida, Poales, Poaceae. The record is from RefSeq and is a predicted model, not a curated record.